RNAcentral lists this ribosomal RNA (253 nucleotides) under uncultured bacterium. RNAcentral describes it as "partial 16S ribosomal RNA". It matches the Rfam family "Bacterial small subunit ribosomal RNA", at positions 524 to 776 of the family's 1533-position model. The record is from RNAcentral.
GACGUAGGAGGCGAGCGUUAUCCGGAUUCACUGGGCGUAAAGCGCAUGUAGGCGGUUGCGUAAGUCGUGUGUUAAAGCCCCUGGCUCAACUGGGGGAGGUCAUGCGAGACUACGAGACUUGAGGGUAGGAGAGGAGAGUGGAACUCCCGGUGUAGCGGUGGAAUGCGUAGAGAUCGGGAAGAACACCAGUGGCGAAAGCGGCUCUCUGGCCUACGACUGACGCUGAGAUGCGAAAGUGUGGGGAGCAAACGGG